CCUGCCCCUAGGGCAUGGCAGAUAUGGCUGCUACGUCACAUGUGCAUUAGUAGGUGGCGGAAGGAGAGAGGCUGUGUCUACAGAGCUGUUCUGACCUAUGGACAUCUGAAUGAUUAGUAGCCUAACAUU
Molecule: small nucleolar RNA, 129 nt
Organism: Grammomys surdaster
Lineage: Eukaryota; Metazoa; Chordata; Mammalia; Rodentia; Muridae
Product: small nucleolar RNA SNORA17
Exons: 1
Source: RefSeq, a predicted model, not a curated record